GCCGACGUAGCUCAGUUGGUAGAGCAGCGGUUUCGUAAACCGCAGGUCGUCGGUUCAAGUCCGACCGUCGGCUCCA
RNAcentral lists this transfer RNA (76 nucleotides) under Acidobacteriota bacterium. Its description in RNAcentral is "tRNA-Thr". It matches the Rfam family "tRNA". Rfam says of the family: Transfer RNA (tRNA) molecules are approximately 80 nucleotides in length. Their secondary structure includes four short double-helical elements and three loops (D, anti-codon, and T loops). Further hydrogen bonds mediate the characteristic L-shaped molecular structure. tRNAs have two regions of fundamental functional importance: the anti-codon, which is responsible for specific mRNA codon recognition, and the 3' end, to which the tRNAs corresponding amino acid is attached (by aminoacyl-tRNA synthetases). tRNAs cope with the degeneracy of the genetic code in two manners: having more than one tRNA (with a specific anti-codon) for a particular amino acid; and 'wobble' base-pairing, i.e. permitting non-standard base-pairing at the 3rd anti-codon position. RNAcentral also lists the same sequence under 2 other names. The record is from RNAcentral. Lineage: Bacteria; Pseudomonadati; Acidobacteriota.